GAAGAAGAAGAAAAGCUCAGGGCAGUGAAUCCCAUUUUACCCAGGAAAACAAACCCAAGAACUGAAGGAUGGAGAAGUGGCCACGAGCUUCACUGGCAAUCCUAUGGCUUCAGCUGAGCUGGGUGUACAGUGAUGACAAGGUGAUGCAGAGCCCCCUAUCUCUGCUUGUCCGCGAGGGAGACAAUGCAAUGCUCAACUGCCGGUAUGAGGUGUCUAACUUCCAAAGCCUACUGUGGUAUAAACAGGAAGGAAAAUCUCCCACAUUUCUGUUUAGGCUAAUUACAAGUGGGAUUGACAAUGGAAGAAUAAGAGGCACCUUAGAUAAGAAAGAACGUCUCAGCACCCUGCACAUUACAGCCACCCAUUCUGGGGACUCAGCCACCUACCUCUGUGCAGUGCAGGCACAGUGCUCUGAAGUCACCUGCAGCCUAUACAUAAAAGCUACAGCUGAGGAUCCUGCCACUGUUAGAUGGAGAGCUUCCUAAACUGGGUGUGCCCUCAAAAAUAAG
Molecule: non-coding RNA, 509 nt
Organism: Phyllostomus discolor (pale spear-nosed bat)
Lineage: Eukaryota; Metazoa; Chordata; Mammalia; Chiroptera; Phyllostomidae
Source: the annotation of a RefSeq genome assembly